CCGCGUGAGGGAGGAAGGCCUUUGGGUUGUAAACCUCUUUUCUCAGGGAAGAAGAUCUGACGGUACCUGAGGAAUAAGCAUCGGCUAACUCCGUGCCAGCAACCCGCGGUAAUACGGAGGAUGCAAGCGUUAUCCGGAAUUAUUGGGCGUAAAGCGUCUGUAGGUUGCCUAGCAAGUCUAUUGUUAAAGGUUAAAGCUUAACUUUAAAACUGCAGUAGAAACUGCUGAGCUUGAGUACAGUCGAAGUAGAGGGAAUUUCCAGUGAAGCGGUGAAAUGCGUAGAUAUUGAAGGAACACCAAUGGCGAAAGCACUCUACUAGGCUUUUACUGACACUCAGAGACGAAAGCUAGGGUAGCA
Molecule: ribosomal RNA, 358 nt
Filed under: uncultured cyanobacterium
Lineage: Bacteria; Bacillati; Cyanobacteriota
Description: bacterial SSU rRNA
Rfam family: Bacterial small subunit ribosomal RNA
Source: RNAcentral